GUUGCAAUGAAUCGGCUCACAAGAGGCACUACAGCUAUUGACAGAUCUACUGGAAAGGGUCAAGAACACCCUGUUUUGCAGCCUCCUGGAGCUACGGAUGGAAAAGAUGUUGAGAUGGACAAGACUGCA
Cololabis saira (Pacific saury) is the source of this 129-nucleotide long non-coding RNA. RefSeq lists it as uncharacterized. The transcript has 3 exons. Lineage: Eukaryota; Metazoa; Chordata; Actinopteri; Beloniformes; Belonidae. The record is from RefSeq and is a predicted model, not a curated record.